This 63-nucleotide transfer RNA is filed under the name Xyleborinus saxesenii. Its description in RNAcentral is "tRNA-Trp". Lineage: Eukaryota; Metazoa; Arthropoda; Insecta; Coleoptera; Curculionidae. The record is from RNAcentral.
AAGAAUUUAAGUUAUAAAAACUAUUGACCUUCAAAGUCAGAAAAGAAUAUUGUUCAAUUCUUA